AACGCACAUUGCGCCCCCUGGUAUUCCGGGGGGCAUGCCUGUUCGAGCGUCAUUGCAACCCUCAAGCCCGGCUUGUGUGAUGGACGACCGUCCAGCCUUACGGCGGGACGCGCCCGAAAUGCAGUGGCUAGGCCGCGAUUCCGGCGCCUGAGCGAAUGGGACUUCCAACGCUUUCUAGGACCGGCCGGCUUCUCUGGCCUUUUAACCGGACGUGUUUCCUUCCUUAACGGGAGGGGGACCGCCCACUUAACCAAAGGUUGACCUCGGAUCAGGUAGGGAUACCCGCUGAACUUAA
RNAcentral lists this unclassified non-coding RNA (295 nucleotides) under uncultured fungus. Its description in RNAcentral is "partial contains 5.8S ribosomal RNA, internal transcribed spacer 2, and large subunit ribosomal RNA". The stretch from base 1 to 52 matches the Rfam family "5.8S ribosomal RNA", at positions 103 to 154 of the family's 154-position model. Lineage: Eukaryota; Fungi. The record is from RNAcentral.